AGCAGCCGCGGUAAUUCCAGCUCCAAUAGCGUAUAUUAAAGUUGCUGCAGUUAAAAAGCUCGUAGUUGAAUUUCGGGACCAUCAUGUCGGUCGUGCCUCGGUACGUACUGGCAUUGUUGGUUUCUACCUUCUGACGAACCAUGAUGUCAUUUAUUUGGUGUCGUGGGAAAUCAGGACUGUUACUUUGAAAAAUUAGAGUGUUUAAAGCAGGCUCACGCUUGAAUACAUUAGCAUGGAAUAAUGAAAUAGGACGUUUGAUUCUAUUUUGUUGGUUUCUAGGAUCGACGUAAUGAUUAAUAGGGAUAGUUGGGGGCAUUAGUAUUCAAUUGUCAGAGGUGAAAUUCUUGGAUUUAUUGAAGACUAACUACUGCGAAAGCAUUUGCCAAGGAUGUUUUCAUUAAUCAAGAACGAAAGUUAGGGGAUCGAAGACGAUCAGAUACCGUCGUAGUC
Molecule: ribosomal RNA, 450 nt
Filed under: uncultured Glomus
Lineage: Eukaryota; Fungi; Glomeromycota; Glomeromycetes; Glomerales; Glomeraceae
Also listed under: 1 other name
Description: SSU rRNA
Rfam family: Eukaryotic small subunit ribosomal RNA
Source: RNAcentral